RNAcentral lists this long non-coding RNA (943 nucleotides) under Homo sapiens (human). RNAcentral describes it as "HSALNT0173142". The record is from RNAcentral. Lineage: Eukaryota; Metazoa; Chordata; Mammalia; Primates; Hominidae.
GGCAUCUGUUAACUGAAACCUAAUAAUUUUUCAUGUAUGUUCCUAUGGACACAUAUGUGCAUUGUAUGUGCUUGUGCAUAUUCUUGUUUGCAUAUGCCUAUUGUAGGCAUUAUUAUAGGGAUUCCAUACACAUUUGUGCUCUCUGGCAUCUGUGCACAUUCUAAUUUGUGGAUGGGUAAAUUUAGCAUAUGAAUAACUUCAUAUGUUCACAUCUCUCCACAUGGAUGUACAUGCCUUCAUGAUGUUCAUCAAUAUUAAUUCAUCAAAACAUACUUACGUUAUACAUACAUGACACAUAUAUCAGUUGAAUACCUUUUUAUACCCUGAUUCCAUUUACAUGUUUCAUAGUAUUUUAACAUAGGAAUUCUAAGAGCAUAGUAGAUAACUGCGUAUUUAUAGUUAAGUGAGAGUCCAAUACCGUUGCAGUGAACACACUGCUAAUUCAUGCUGUGCAAUGAACACACCAAAUUAGCAUACCACUUCAGUUAUUUGAUAGGGUAGCCAUCCUCAGUUGUCAAGUACGCAGGCUUGGCUCAUGUACCUCUUUAUGUUUUCUCAUCCAUUUACACUUAGACCUAGACCAGACAGUGAUAUUUGGAACUACUUGCUGGAUGCACUAAGGCAGGGGAUUCCUGUUGGCAUGGUUCUGCAUGAAUGGAACCUCAAAUGGAUUUUGUAGAUUAUCCUCAUUGUUACCAAAACAUUUUUUAUUUGAGGAAAAUGUUGCAAGUAUUUAUACUAGAUAAUAUCCACUGUGACUGUACUGGAACAAAGGUAUUCUGAUAGAGAAAAAAGAAUGUAAUCAUAAGGUCCAGGAAAGAGAGGUAUUUCAUUUAUCUUAACUGAUGAGAAUGUUCUAAUGACAGGUAUUUGCUGUAGAAGUUUCUAGGCCUAGCUUACCCUGAAAUCAAUACACUUUUGAAAGUCAGUGUCUGUUUGUGAG